GAUGGCAUACCAUUUGCAAAAGUACACAACCCAAGGUAUUGCAAGUGGGGUAUGUCCAGUCAUUUUUUAGUAGCCACUUAGUCACAAACACUGGCCAAAGUUAGUGUUCAUAUUUGUUUUUUUGCGUGAAAAAAGCAAAAAAACAUAUUUGGCCAGUGUUUGUGACUAAGUGGCUACUAAAAAUAACUGAACAUAUCCAUUUGCAAUACCUUGGGUUGUCUACUUUUGCAAAUGGUAUGCUAUC
Non-coding RNA from Pelobates cultripes (western spadefoot toad), 244 nucleotides. The record is from the annotation of a GenBank genome assembly. NCBI's taxonomy places the organism in Eukaryota, Metazoa, Chordata, Amphibia, Anura, Pelobatidae.